UCUGACCUCCUAGUGACUAAGGCA
This 24-nucleotide non-coding RNA is filed under the name Cricetulus griseus (Chinese hamster). Lineage: Eukaryota; Metazoa; Chordata; Mammalia; Rodentia; Cricetidae. The record is from RNAcentral.